CACGUAGGGGACGAGCGUUGUCCGGAUUCAUUGGGCGUAAAGCGCGCGUAGGCGGCUCGGAAAGUCGGUCGUGAAAUGCCGGGGCUCAACCCCGGGACUGCGUCCGAUACUCCCGAGCUGGAGGCAGGUAGGGGAGAUCGGAAUUCCUGGUGUAGCGGUGAAAUGCGCAGAUAUCAGGAGGAACACCGGUGGCGAAGGCGGGUCUCUGGGCAGUAACUGACGCUGAGGAGCGAAAGCGUGGGGAGCGAACAGG
This 253-nucleotide ribosomal RNA is filed under the name uncultured bacterium. Its description in RNAcentral is "partial 16S ribosomal RNA". It matches the Rfam family "Bacterial small subunit ribosomal RNA", at positions 524 to 776 of the family's 1533-position model. The record is from RNAcentral.